RNAcentral lists this unclassified non-coding RNA (391 nucleotides) under soil metagenome. Its description in RNAcentral is "partial contains 5.8S ribosomal RNA, internal transcribed spacer 2, and large subunit ribosomal RNA". The stretch from base 1 to 122 matches the Rfam family "5.8S ribosomal RNA", at positions 35 to 154 of the family's 154-position model. The record is from RNAcentral.
GAUGAAGAACGUAGCGAAAUGCGAUACUUGGUGUGAAUUGCAGAAUCCCGUGAACCAUCGAGUCUUUGAACGCAAGUUGCGCCCGAAGCCAUUAGGCCGAGGGCACGCCUGCCUGGGCGUCACACGUCGUUGCCCCCCCAUCUACUCCUUCGGGAUUGCGGGGGGCGGAUGAUGGCCUCCCGUGCGCCUCGUCGCGCGGUUGGCAUAAAUGCCAAGUCCUCGGCGACGCACGCCACGACAAUCGGUGGUUGCGAAACCUCGGUUGCCCGUCGUGUGCGGUCGUCGCCCAUCGAGGGCUCGAAAAAAUUGUCGGGCUCCGGCUCGGCUUUCAACGCGACCCCAGGUCAGGCGGGGUUACCCGCUGAAUUUAAGCAUAUCAAUAAGCGGAGGA